GAAGAAGAGGCGGGUGGGGGGGGGACCCUCUGGUCAGGGGAACUCUGGGUCGUGAAAAUAGGCCACGUGAACACGCUGCCCUAUAGACUUAUGACCCAACGGCUGUCGCGCACUUGGAGGGCGGGCCAAGAAUCUAAGAGGGCGAGCGUCAUUGGCCAGAAUACUCACUGAAGGAGGAAGAUGAUUGGUUCGUUUUAGGCCUUAGCCAUGAAGAAGCAAGUUGCUACACCCGCCUUUACUGCGGCGAAGUGUCAUUGCUGACGUGAGAAUCGUGAUCCAAUCAUUUGGUUAUGGAACAUUCUAAAACUUAGAGGAGACGGUUAUGAUUGGCUGAAGGGCAUAAGCCCGCCUCCCGGGUGACGUGUCUGCGUAUGGAUAUCAGUUGCCAGAGAAACCUGGCUUUACUAUGGCGGUUGGAGGAACGGCAGUGAUCACACGUCUGCUGCUGGAAAGAACUGGAUUCUCGUUUCAGGUCACCAUCAGAAAAGCUAAGUUUGCUAUACAGUAAGGAUCAGGAGAUCUGAUCCUGAUUGCAGAGCCACCCCUGAUUGCAGAAUCCUGGGUAAGUGACUUCUCCUGGCCUCAGUUCUCAAGCAAAAUAAAACCACCUGACCUUUCCA
Molecule: long non-coding RNA, 620 nt
Filed under: Castor canadensis (American beaver)
Lineage: Eukaryota; Metazoa; Chordata; Mammalia; Rodentia; Castoridae
Description: lncRNA (ENSCCNG00000006916.1)
Source: RNAcentral